RNAcentral lists this ribosomal RNA (876 nucleotides) under uncultured bacterium. RNAcentral describes it as "bacterial SSU rRNA". It matches the Rfam family "Bacterial small subunit ribosomal RNA", at positions 505 to 1381 of the family's 1533-position model. The record is from RNAcentral.
GUGUCAGCAACCGCGGUAAUACGUAGGUGGCAAGCGUUGUCCGGAUUUAUUGGGCGUAAAGCGAGCGCAGGCGGUUUCUUGAGUCUGAUGUGAAAGCCUUCGGCUCAACCGAAGAAGUGCAUCGGAAACUGGGAAACUUGAGUGCAGAAGAGGACAGUGGAACUCCAUGUGUAGCGGUGAAAUGCGUAGAUAUAUGGAAGAACACCAGUGGCGAAGGCGGCUGUCUGGUCUGUAACUGACGCUGAGGCUCGAAAGCAUGGGUAGCAAACAGGAUUAGAUACCCUGGUAGUCCAUGCCGUAAACGAUGAGUGCUAGGUGUUGGAGGGUUUCCGCCCUUCAGUGCCGCAGCUAACGCAUUAAGCACUCCGCCUGGGGAGUACGACCGCAAGGUUGAAACUCAAAGGAAUUGACGGGGGCCCGCACAAGCGGUGGAGCAUGUGGUUUAAUUCGAAGCAACGCGAAGAACCUUACCAGGUCUUGACAUCCUUUGACCACUCUAGAGAUAGAGCUUUCCCUUCGGGGACAAAGUGACAGGUGGUGCAUGGUUGUCGUCAGCUCGUGUCGUGAGAUGUUGGGUUAAGUCCCGCAACGAGCGCAACCCUUAUUACUAGUUGCCAGCAUUUAGUUGGGCACUCUAGUGAGACUGCCGGUGACAAACCGGAGGAAGGUGGGGACGACGUCAAAUCAUCAUGCCCCUUAUGACCUGGGCUACACACGUGCUACAAUGGAUGGUACAACGAGUUGCGAGACCGCGAGGUUUAGCUAAUCUCUUAAAACCAUUCUCAGUUCGGAUUGUAGGCUGCAACUCGCCUACAUGAAGCCGGAAUCGCUAGUAAUCACGGAUCAGCAUGCCCCGCUGAAUACUUUCCCUGGCCU